ACGCUCGACACCUACGGGAGGCAGCAGUGGGAAUAUUGCACAAUGGGGGAAACCCUGAUGCAGCGACGCCGCGUGGAGGAAGAAGGUCUUCGGAUUGUAAACUCCUGUUGUUGGGAAAAGAGGAUGGUACCCAACAAGGAAGUGACGGCUAACUACGUGCCAACAGCCGCGGUAAUCUGAGCGGGCUGGCAAGGC
Molecule: ribosomal RNA, 195 nt
Filed under: uncultured bacterium
Lineage: Bacteria
Description: partial 16S ribosomal RNA
Rfam family: Bacterial small subunit ribosomal RNA
Source: RNAcentral